Vombatus ursinus (common wombat) is the source of this 107-nucleotide small nuclear RNA. The record is from Ensembl. NCBI's taxonomy places the organism in Eukaryota, Metazoa, Chordata, Mammalia, Diprotodontia, Vombatidae.
GUGCUUACUUUGGCAGCACAUAUGCUAAAAUUGGAAUGAAAGAGAGAAGACUAGCAUGGCCCCUGUGCAAGGAUGUCAUGCAAAUUCAUGAAACAUUUCAUGUUUUU